GAUGAACGCUGGCGGCGUGCCUAAUACAUGCAAGUCGAGCGAACAGAUGAGAAGCUUGCUUCUCUGAUGUUAGCGGCGGACGGGUGAGUAACACGUGGGUAAUCUACCUAUAAGACUGGGAUAACUCCGGGACACCGGGGCCAAUACCGGAUAAUAUUUUGAACCGCAUGGUUCAAUAGUGAAAGACGGUUUCGGCUGUCACCUAUAGAUGGACCCGCGCCGUAUUAGCUAGUUGGUAAGGUAACGGCUUACCAAGGCGACGAUACGUAGCCGACCUGAGAGGGUGAUCGGCCACACUGGAACUGAGACACGGUCCAGACUCCUACGGGAGGCAGCAGUAGGGAAUCUUCCGCAAUGGGCGAAAGCCUGACGGAGCAACGCCGCAUGAGUGAUGAAGGUCUUCGGAUCGUAAAACUCUGUUGUUAGGGAAGAACAAAUUUGUUAGUAACUGAACAAGUCUUGACGGUACCUAACCAGAAAGCCACGGCUAACUACGUGCCAGCCGCCGCCGUAA
This 514-nucleotide ribosomal RNA is filed under the name uncultured bacterium. Its description in RNAcentral is "partial 16S ribosomal RNA". It matches the Rfam family "Bacterial small subunit ribosomal RNA", at positions 28 to 523 of the family's 1533-position model. The record is from RNAcentral.